UACGUAGGGGGCAAGCGUUGUCCGGAAUCAUUGGGCGUAAAGCGCGUGUAGGCGGCUCGGUAAGUCUGCUGUGAAAGCCCAGGGCUCAACCGUGGGAUGCCGGUGGAUACUGUCGAGCUCGAGUCCGGAAGAGGCGAGUGGAAUUCCUGGUGUAGCGGUGAAAUGCGCAGAUAUCAGGAGGAACACCGGUGGCGAAGGCGGCUUUCUGGACAGAUACCGACGCUGAGGCACGAAAGCUAGGGGAGCAAACAGG
This 253-nucleotide ribosomal RNA is filed under the name uncultured bacterium. RNAcentral's name for it is "partial 16S ribosomal RNA". It matches the Rfam family "Bacterial small subunit ribosomal RNA", at positions 524 to 776 of the family's 1533-position model. The record is from RNAcentral.